Non-coding RNA from Salmo salar (Atlantic salmon), 54 nucleotides. Lineage: Eukaryota; Metazoa; Chordata; Actinopteri; Salmoniformes; Salmonidae. The record is from Rfam.
ACUGUAAGCAACUGUAAGUUGCUCUGGAUAAGAGCGUCUGCUAAAUGACUAAAA